GACGAACGCUGGCGGCGUGCUUAACACAUGCAAGUCGAGCGGUAAGGCCCUUUCGGGGGUACACGAGCGGCGAACGGGUGAGUAACACGUGGGUGACCUGCCCUCAGCUCUGGGAUAAGCCUGGGAAACCGGGUCUAAUACUGGAUAUGACUCCAUGACGCAUGUUGUGGGGUGGAAAGCCUUGUGCGGCUGAGGAUGGGCCCGCGGCCUAUCAGCUUGUUGGUGGGGUGAUGGCCUACCAAGGCGACGACGGGUAGCCGGCCUGAGAGGGCGACCGGUCACACUGGGACUGAGACACGGCCCAGACUCCUACGGGAGGCAGCAGUGGGGAAUCUUGCGCAAUGGGCGAAAGCCUGACGCAGCGACGCCGCGUGAGGGAUGACGGCCU
Molecule: ribosomal RNA, 388 nt
Filed under: uncultured bacterium
Lineage: Bacteria
Description: bacterial SSU rRNA
Rfam family: Bacterial small subunit ribosomal RNA
Source: RNAcentral